This 739-nucleotide long non-coding RNA is filed under the name Ananas comosus (pineapple). Its description in RNAcentral is "long non-coding RNA (ACOM_LNC038579)". The record is from RNAcentral. Lineage: Eukaryota; Viridiplantae; Streptophyta; Magnoliopsida; Poales; Bromeliaceae.
CCGCUACCUAUGGCGCAAAACCCUUGCCUCGGUCCUCCGCCGCCCCGCUCGUGCUAGGACAUGUAGGGUUAGUGGUGUGAGAACUACAACGAAGUUCCCAGUGGGCUCGGCAUCCGACCUCGCCGACUUACCCACUAGGUCCAUCCAGGCAUAAGUAUUUCAAAGGAGGAAAAGUAACCACUACUAAUGCAACUAAUACUAUGCCUGCAAGAAAGAAGUCAGUAGACAUAUAAUUUCAAUGCGAUGAUGGAAAUGCAUGCAUGCUUCAAUCAUAAUCAAACUUUGGUUCUUACCCAAUCUUACCGGUUAACUCUGUUAAACCCAAUAACUCACAACCCAAAAUCCCUUAAUAACAGGAGACUCGAACCUCCCUAGGGACCGUCAACUGGUGGGACUUUACCACGCCCAGUGGUGACCAACUCCGGAGCGCACCGCUCGAGGGGGAGCGACCUCCCUCAAGCCAAGACGAAAGGUGAGUGUCGAUCUAAUCCUCAACUUGAGGAUCCAUAGCCACUAGUCACAAUGCCAAUAUCACGAUAGGUCUCUACCUAUUUAUUUUUGCCACUUUCGAGACCUUAUCUUCGACCAUGUCCCUAUGGGUUAAACUAUUUCCAAUGGUCAUCUCUCAAUGCAAUUCUUGUUUCUAUGUCAAUGACACCCUUGUUUUCUAAUGUCCAAGUCCAUACUUAUGUUCACACAUCUCGAGGGCCCAAUCACACAUGUCCGUUUUGGUUCUAUC